UGACAAAUGACAAGUUCUCUGGUGUCCUUG
Molecule: non-coding RNA, 30 nt
Filed under: Mus musculus (house mouse)
Lineage: Eukaryota; Metazoa; Chordata; Mammalia; Rodentia; Muridae
Source: RNAcentral